This 494-nucleotide ribosomal RNA is filed under the name uncultured bacterium. Its description in RNAcentral is "partial 16S ribosomal RNA". It matches the Rfam family "Bacterial small subunit ribosomal RNA", at positions 29 to 507 of the family's 1533-position model. The record is from RNAcentral.
ACGAACGCUGGCGGCGUGCCUAAUACAUGCAAGUAGAACGCUGAAGGAGGAGCUUGCUUCUCUGGAUGAGUUGCGAACGGGUGAGUAACGCGUAGGUAACCUGCCUGGUAGCGGGGGAUAACUAUUGGAAACGAUAGCUAAUACCGCAUAAUAGCAGUUGUUGCAUGACAACUGUUUGAAAGGUGCAAUUGCACCACUACCAGAUGGACCUGCGUUGUAUUAGCUAGUUGGUGGGGUAACGGCUCACCAAGGCGACGAUACAUAGCCGACCUGAGAGGGUGAUCGGCCACACUGGGACUGAGACACGGCCCAGACUCCUACGGGAGGCAGCAGUAGGGAAUCUUCGGCAAUGGACGGAAGUCUGACCGAGCAACGCCGCGUGAGGGAAGAAGGGUUUCGGAUCGGAAAGCUCUGUUGUAAGAGAAGAACGAGUGUGAGAGUGGAAAGUUCACACUGUGACGGUAUCUUACCAGAAAGGGACGGCUAACUACGUG